AAUUAAAAAUUUACUGUUAGUAUUUUUUUAUAAAAAUUAAUAAAAAUAAUUUUAAUUAUAUUUAUUUUAAGUAAUUUUUAAUUAAAAAAUUUUUUUAGUUAUAGUUUAUUUGUAUUGUAAAAGAUUAUUGAAAUAUGAUUUAAUUUUUAAAUAGUAAAAUUAAUUUUUUGUACCUUGUGUAUCAGGGUUUAUUAAAUAAAUUUUAUAGAUUAUAAUUUUCUCGAAUUUAAGAGAGUAAAUAAAUUAUUUUUUUUAUUGUUAAAUAAAUAUUUAAAAUAAUUUAUUGGCAAUGAAAUGUUAUUCGUUCUUAAAAAUAUCUAGUUUAUUUAGAAAUGAAUUUAAUUCAGAUAUUAUUAUUUUAAUAAUUAUAUUUUUUAUAGUUAUUAAAUUUUUUAAUAUUAAUAAUUAAAGGGAUUAGCUUUUAAUUAAAAUUUUAUAAAUUUAUAAAUAGUUUAAAAAAUGUAAGUUUAGAAAUAUCUAUCAAUAAUAAUUUGUUAUAAUUAAUUUAUUUUGUUUAAUAUUUAUUUUAUAUAAUUUUAAUUUUUUUAUAAAUAAAUUAUUAUUAAUUAAUUAUAAUUAGUAAUAAUGAUAAAAUUAGUAUAAAUUUAAAGUUUAUAAAUAAUAUUUUUUGAAAGAUUAUUUUAAGGAAUUCGGCAAAAAUUUUACUCGCCUGUUUAACAAAAACAUGUCUUUUUGAUUUUUAUUUAAAGUCUAGCCUGCCCACUGAAUUUAUUUUUAAAUGGCCGCAGUAAUUUGACUGUGCAAAGGUAGCAUAAUCAUUAGUUUUUUAAUUAAAAGCUUGUAUGAAAGGUUGGACGAGGUAAAAUCUGUCUCUAUUUAAAUUAAAUUAGAAUUUAAUUUUUAAGUUAAAAAGCUUAAAUUUUUUUAAAAGACGAGAAGACCCUAUAGAGCUUUAUAUUUUUUUUUAUAAUUUUAAUUUGGAAAUAUUUAGAAUUUAUAUUAAAAAUUAUUUUAUUGGGGUAAUAGGAAGAUUAGUAAAAUUCUUUUUUUAAUAAAUCAUUUAUUUAUGAAUUAAUGAUCCAAAAAUUUUGAUUAUAUGAUUAAGUUACCUUAGGGAUAACAGCGUAAUUUUUUUAAAGAGUUCAUAUCGAUAAAAAAGUUUGCGACCUCGAUGUUGGAUUAAAAGUUAUUAUAGGUGCAGAAGCUUGUAAUUUUGGUCUGUUCGACCAUUAAACUUUUACAUGAUCUGAGUUCAGACCGGUGUAAGCCAGGUCGGUUUCUAUCUUUAAUUAAUUAAAAUAUUUUAGUACGAAAGGACCAAAUAUUUGAUAUAUUUAUAUUUAAUAUUUGAAUAUUAUUAAAUUA
Molecule: ribosomal RNA, 1326 nt
Filed under: Elaphrus cupreus
Lineage: Eukaryota; Metazoa; Arthropoda; Insecta; Coleoptera; Carabidae
Description: 16S ribosomal RNA
Rfam family: Archaeal large subunit ribosomal RNA (bases 1077-1235)
Source: RNAcentral